UCUUGGCUGAGGGCAAAGACGCUCCUGGCGCUCCCGUCUUUCGGCUUGCCUCAGUUGCCACUGCCAUCUUGGAUCAGGGUAAUUCCCGCCUCUUGGGCGCUCCCGGUUACAACCUCGGCGCCAUCUUGGAUUAGUUCAAUGUAGCCACCCUCUCCAGGCCCGCUGCUUCUGCCAGCUGGAUGUUGCGUCGUCCCUCGCUAUUCGCCCUCCUAUAAUCACUGCUUCCAUGUUGAAUCAAAACAAUUAUGCUUUCGUUCUCCCUUCUUCAAUUGCCCUAUCUUCACACCUGAACACUAUUGCUCCGGUAUCCUGCCAUUUUGGAUCAGGGCGGUUGACGGUGGAUUCACUUCCCAUCAGCCCUUGAGGCUGCAGGGACCAGCCCUUUGUACAGUGGAGAAGCCCAGGCGGCCUAGAAUCCAGUGUCGUCCGUGAGUGCUUGGCUGGUGUUCAAGUGCAUCUUCCAGCCUGAGACCGCGUGGACUCGCUCAUCGUGAGGGCGAGAGGAGGAUAAGCCCAUUGGGCUGUCGGCUGAGAGUGAGAUUGCUGAUGAAAUCCUUGGCAUCGUCGGAGAUCUCAUCGAAUGCCUCGUCGUCGAAGUCCCAGGUGGCUGAGGUAACGUUGGCCAAGGUUUCGUUAUCGUUGUCUCCCAUGAAGGGGGAAAGGCCACUGACUCUGGAGAGACAAGAGCAGGACAGCAGGUGUGGCUAGGAGAGGGCGCGACGACCAGGUGAGUGGUAACUGAGGUCAAAGGCGAGGGUCGGCCAGCCUCCCCACCCCCAAACUCAUGCUCUGUGGGCCUUGCACCUGCCUUUCUUCCACUUGUGGAAAGAAAAGAGGGUGUGGUUCACAGCCCUGUCUUUUCUUGGUCACCUGCCUCUUGACACCACCUACCUGUGAGGCUGAGGUGCAGCAGGUUGGCUUUAGAUUACGGGCUUCUGCAGGGUACGCGGCAGGGCUGAUAAGUCCCUCUGUCCUGGUUUUCUAUUAUUCCCCAAAGCCCAGGCUAGAGCCUUCUCCAAGCCCCUUCCUCCCGUGCUCCUGCCCCCUCUCUGUGGACUGGGCACAUGGUAGUGAUCACCACUGCACCCUUCUGUCCCCUCCUUCCCACCUCUCUCCACACACCUUCAGCUCCAAGAAGAGGGCCCGGCAAAUAAGAGAGGCUCAGCAAGUGAAGUGUGUGCCCAAUGGAUAGAUGGACUUUGAAUCAGCAAUGUAGGUUCGGGGAACUUGAGGCAUUUAUGCCAAACUAGAAAACUUCCCUAUGAGGUGCCAUGGCAGAGGACAGAGUGCAGCCUCUCCGCUUGCUGUAUGGCCUUGGACAAUUCCCUGAUCUGUGUCAGUUUUCUCCUCUAAAAUGGAGAAGCUGCCAUUUAACUAUAGGGUGGUCACUUCUUCAUCCUCAUCAUCAUCAUGAUGGCAGCAGACAUUCAUUGAGGUUUUUCUAUGUGCCAGGCACUGGGUCAAGUGCCUAAAACAAGUGAACUCACUUAAUCUUAACACUGCCCUAUGAUGCAAGUAAUUCUUAUAACUUUGUUUUACAGAUGAGGGAAUUGAGGCACAGCCCAGGCUCAAGUCACCUGCCCAAAGAUUCACAGCCAGUGAGAUUGGAAGCCAGGUAUCUGCCUCUAGAGCCUGUCCUCUUAAAUGCUAUACUAUCCUAACAUUUCUGUAAAGAUGAAGUAAAUUGCAGUGUUCAGCACUGGCACCAGGCCUGGUCCACAGUAAGGAGGCGGUCCAUGCCCGGAGAUCUCAUGCAGUUCUGCUGGGUUCCCUCCACUGCCUUACCAAGCUGUGAGUGCAGGAAUGACUUUGUGACCAGCAGCUUAAGCCAAAUAAACUUUAUAAGGUAAAGAAUUUCAAAACAAAAUAGAGCAGAUUUGUGGCUUACUGACCUUACCUCUCACCUCUGUGCACCUCACCUUCAUAGCAACAACUCACCCCACUGUUCAUGAGGGCCUUGUGAGUCAGCCUCAUGGGUGUUAGACCAGCACAGUUGCCCACAGUCCCACCCUUAGACAGGCCCUGUGCUUGGUUUAAUGCUCUGCUGCUGUCGUCUCAAGAUUCUCAAUAAGGUUUGAACAAGUGGCCCCACCUUUCAUGUUGCAAAUUGUGUAGCUGUUCCUGCCCUGAUCUCAGCUGAGCCCCAUGAGAUGGGUCUGGGGGCCAGGCGUGGUGGCUCAUGCCUGUAAUCCCAGCACUUUGGGAGGCCAAAAUGGAUGGAUCACCUGAGGUCAGGAGUUUGAGGCUAGCCUGGCCAACACGGUGAAGUCCUGUCUCUACUAAAAAUACAAAAAUUAGCUGGGCAUGGUGGCAAGCACCUGUAAUCCCAGCUACUCGGGAGGCUGAGGCAGGAGAAUUGCUUGAACCCUGGAGGUGGAGGUUGCAGUGAGCCAAUAUCGCACCAUUGCACUCCAACCUGGGCAACAAGCGAAACUCAAUCUCAAAAAAAAAAAAAAAAAGAGAGAUGGGUCUGGGGCCCUCCUGCCAUCAACCUGUCAAGUUAGGGCUUUACCAAUGUCCCUUCUCCCAAAUGCUUAUGAAUCCAUCAUCAUAAGCCAAGCACUGACAGCUU
RNAcentral lists this long non-coding RNA (2572 nucleotides) under Homo sapiens (human). RNAcentral's name for it is "HSALNT0059704". Lineage: Eukaryota; Metazoa; Chordata; Mammalia; Primates; Hominidae. The record is from RNAcentral.